RNAcentral lists this long non-coding RNA (2604 nucleotides) under Bemisia tabaci. Its description in RNAcentral is "lncRNA ENSSSA1UGG005732". The record is from RNAcentral. Lineage: Eukaryota; Metazoa; Arthropoda; Insecta; Hemiptera; Aleyrodidae.
AUGGGACUUGCUAACGUGGCGCCUCAGAAAUCAGAGGAACCAAAGAAAUGUCAAGACAAAAUAGUGACCUCUAAAAUUUCAGUGUUGAAACAGAGAGAGCUCGCACGGAAAAAGAAACUAGCCAAUCUAAAACAUGCGCAAAGAGCGAAUGCAAAACAUCUGAAACCAGCAGUUGAUAGGCGGAAGCAACUGAAGACCAAUCUUGGAACAGAACGAUCUCUCAGAAAAAACAUGAAACUGAAAAAGUUAGAAGCUAUCAAGAAGAAGGCUCUCAGUACCGGAAAAGAUACUUCUGGAAAGAAAGCACCUUCAACAAAUAACAAGACAGGAAAGGAAGUGAAACAACCAGUCCCCGUCAAAUCGCAGGCAAAGGACCUGAAACCUAGCCUCGUGAAAACUUCAAUAAAGUAACCCUCUAUUUUAUGUUUUUUUUGUUUUUGACUAGCUCAAAGAUGGCUCUUAUAAUGAUUAUGGUGGAAUCCAGAUACAAUCUAAAAUUCCAGCAGGGUUCCAACUGUCUGGAAAAUCUUGCAUUUUCAGGGGAAAUAAGCAAAUUGAAAACAUGGAAAAUUCAGGAAACUCUUUACAGACUUUGAGUAGAAAAAAGAAAUCUCUAUUGUCCAAUCUUUCAAUUUUUGUAUGUUUGAAUUUCUCGCUUCCGAGUGUGAAAUUCAAAAUUCAGAAGUGUUCGGAAAUACAUGGUACUGCUUGGGUUGUAUCCACAGAUGGACAGGCACAAAGGAAUUUUUGCAUGGUGUCCACUAUAUAUAGUGUCACUUGUCAGCAUCUAAUUUUGGAUCAAGUAUAUGAGGUUUUUUCAUCGAAAAAAGUAAAUUUUUCCAGAAUCCCUGUCCAGUCUUGGUUGCCUUUUUAUUCUAUAAAUAACAAUUUUCUUGGUUGCUGUCAUAACUCUGCAUCUGCAUUGAGACUGAGACUAAAACGAUUGUUCCUGCUAAAGUAAUAUUGUAACUAAGACCAGGAACUUAGGUUGAGCCUGCAAUUCACAGUGAGCAUGGUAAGAGCUACAAUUCUUUUUUCUCCAAGGUAGAAACUACUUAUUCAGAGUUAUUGGGAUAGUGAAUGCAGGAUUCUCACAGCCUCGAAAAGUCCUUGAGAAUAAAGUAAGAAAAACCAAGUACUGAUAGUACUUGAUUCUUAAGAAAAUUGCGAGAAUAUGCCUGUGUCCUCAAAUCUCCACAUUUUUUACCCUUGAGAAUGUCAAUGCUUUCAUCAAAACGUAUUUGCAUGCUUUUUUUUUUAAUCAUACCAUACAGGAAAAUUUCCACACAUGCGCAAUGCUCCUUUUUUCCCCUAUCUAAUUAAGUAAUUUUCUUGACUUCAGUUUUGCACUGGUUUUCAGCUUAUCCUUGCAGCUUUAUUGUAAAUUUGUAACCAAAUUGGGGGGUAUAAAUUGGGGACAGCCAAUCAGAAAUGGUUGGCUCCUACUAGAGAAUCCACUAAAGCGACCAGAAAAAUCUCUUCCUAAUGGAUGUUGCUGUCAACCAUUCCUCCUUGAUUGGCUGUCACCAUCUGCGUCAUGUCCAUCAACGGAGCUCAGGUCAAUUUACAAAAAUAUUAAUAGACGAUUUUAAGUCCACCAACCACCAGUCCACCAGUCUGCACCAACUUGUUCAUCAACGUUGCACCUUGGUAUUGCAAGAAGGCAAGCUGUCAAUCAGAAUACCAGAAAAUCCAAGCGACUGAAAUUCUUAACCAAUGAAAUUCAUCUCUAGCUGAUAAAAUUCCCACAUUGUUCUUAAGUGUUUAAUUAUAAAUUUUACCAAUUCAUUUUAUUACUGUCCUUUCAGAUCCAAAGCAAAAAGAACUCCUUUAGGCGUAAGGCGAAAUCUUCGUAGCGGAGGUAGCAGUCUUGGCGGCUCUCAGGAGUUGAUAUUGAAAUCUAAAAGAUUGCAAGUCAUACGAAAUCGCAAAGCAAAGCUUGGUGCUGGAAAGCAAACGACCCCUCCAAAAGGUACCUACUUUGCUCAUUACAUCUCUCUUUUUAGAACUUCUAAACUGUGUAUACAUCAUGGGAGUUUGAGCCUCAUAACAAUGGAUUAGUUGCUCACAAGAAAUGCAGGCAACUGAGUAUUAUUUUUUCAAGUAAAAUUGCAUUAAAAUUACUUUAAACACAUAAAAAUUGUCUUAAGUCCACUCUCCCAACAAACAAUUUGCGAAGUCUGUGUAGCACUUUUUAAAAUUUCCUGUGCCCAUAGAUUUAAAUAAAUGAUGUCAUUUGUAUUUUUGCCAUUUAUUGCAUAUACCUGCGUAUGGUAUGGACCCUAAAUUUUGAGGUCCCCCUCCCUAAAAAAAUGCUCUGAACAGGAUUGGUUUGAACUUUGUUGUGGGCUGCAUCUUGGGGCAAUACCUGCGGAUUGUAAGCACCCUUGAUUUGAGAGCUGAAAUUUUGAAAAAAAGGUGUGUAAAAUAUGCAGGUAGAUACAGUAACCAAUGUCAAUCAUGAACACUUAUAUCUUGUUUAGGAGUUCAUUUCCAAACUUCCUGAUGUAUGAUUGUUUUCCUCUUUAAAUUUUGUUGAUAAAACAUGUUGCAUAGUGCUCCAAUUCAUACCUACCGGACAUAAGUACAAUCCAAUCACUAUUA